RNA transcript from Brassica rapa (field mustard), 4432 nucleotides. It is a transcript of the gene named probable WRKY transcription factor 74, with no coding region annotated. NCBI's taxonomy places the organism in Eukaryota, Viridiplantae, Streptophyta, Magnoliopsida, Brassicales, Brassicaceae. The record is from RefSeq and is a predicted model, not a curated record.
ACAGAGGACUCUGUUUUUCUCUAUCCUUCCUCUUGUGACUGCGACGACCAUCUCUCAGGCCCAACUCCACUUCACUCUCUUCUCUCACCUCUAUGCUUUUUUGCCCUUUUAAAUAUUUUAAAUCAUAGUGACAAAGUAGAAGAAAAGAUUUGUAAUGUAAUGGUGGUGAGGGAAUAUUAGUGAAAGAACAUCUUCCUCCCAGAUAAAAUUGUGUGGGAAGGAAAAUGGAGGAAGCUGAAGCUGCAAACAAAGCAGCAGUGGAGAGCUGUCAUGGAGUCUUGAAUCUCUUGUCACAACUAACCAAUGAUCCUAAGUCCAUAAUGUUUGAAACAAGAGAAGCAGUUUCCAAGUUCAGGAGAGUUACCUCUCUCUUGUCUAGUGGGUCAGGUCAAAGGAAGAUUAAGAAACUCAACAACAACUACUACAAGCUUAGGUCUCUUCAGUUGCCCCAACACCUCUUUUUGGAAAGUCCUGUUUCUAGUAAUAAUGCUAUAACUGGUUGCAUUCCAAUUCUAGCACCAAAGCCUCUUCAGAUUGUACCACCUUCUGCUCCUAGUUAUAGUGAACAGCGACAGGGUCAUCCUCCACCUAUGAUGCUUAACCAGAAAAUGUGUGUUGACAAGUCCUUUCUGGAGCUAAAGCCACCGUCUUCUCGUCAAAGUCCCUAUCAGUUUAUCCCUAACCACCAGCAAGGAGUGUACUCUAGGAGCAAUAGUGGUUUAAAUCUGAAGUUUGAUGGGCCUGGUGGUGGUAGUUGUUAUUCCCCAAGUGUCUCAAACGGAUCAAGAUCGUUUGUUUCAUCUCUUAGUAUGGAUACUAGUGUGGCGGAUUACAGCAGAAACUCGUUUCAUUUGAUAGGAUUACCUCAGGGAUCUGAUCAUAUCUCCCAGCAUUCAAGGAGGACAAGCUGCUCUGGUAGUUUGAAAUGUGGUGGUAGAAGCAAGUGUCAUUGUUCUAAGAAAAGGAAGUUGAGAGUGAGACGAUCGAUUAAAGUACCUGCAAUUAGCAACAAGAUUGCUGAUAUACCACCAGAUGAGUAUUCAUGGAGGAAGUACGGACAAAAGCCAAUUAAGGGUUCUCCUCAUCCUAGGGGGUACUAUAAAUGCAGCAGCCUGCGAGGUUGUCCAGCAAGGAAGCAUGUUGAAAGAUGUGUAGAUGAAACUUCAAUGCUAAUUGUGACUUAUGAAGGUGAGCAUAACCAUUCGAGAGUACUCUCUUCCCAAUCAGCUCAAACUUGAUUAACCAAACCGGUCUAGUAUCUGUGGUUUACAAUUGUAUAUUCCACUUGACAUGAUGGUACUUACUUGGGAUUUUACUCGUUGCAUUACAAGUAUGGUUUCAGCCUUAUCUACAUAUAGAUAAAAUGGUAUAAUCUAGAAGGGUUUUUGGUUUGUAUCAGAUGUUGGUUCAAUAGGUUUGGCUUUGUUGAGCAAAUGUCAACUGAUAUUUAUCUAAUAUGAUUGGGUUUCUCUAUUCUCUUCAUCAAGUCCAACCGAAUGUAAAUCAGUGGCAAACUCUUCAAGAUAUAGCUUCAUUGGCUCUUUAAUGAGUGCUAUAUAUAGAUCCUCUUACUCUAGGCUCAUUAACAAGAUUUUUCAAGGCCCACAUUGUUCAUCUAUCAAACCCAAUAGGCCCAAAUUAUUAAACUACAAUUCAUAUUGUACAUUUUUAGACAAAUAUUAGGAAAGAAAAACUAUUUCAAUUCAAUAGUAUUAGACCAUUAACAAGAUGGAAUUUUUUCUUAAAACUGAACCGGAUAGUGUUUACUGGUUUAACCGGGGGUUCAGUCCGGGUUUGAAAACAUUGCUUACUACUUACGGUUUCAUUUUCAUCACAAGAUUUCUGAGUAAGCCUUGGAUCCCAUGAUUAAAUAAUCUAAAGCCACAAAUUAUAGUGGGCCGACGAGGUUAAUUAUAUUCACAGUUGCCAUGAUUUGAUUAUCUGUGUUGUAAGUUCCUUACGUAAGUUUUCUUUCAAGAUGCAAAAUACAUUAGUUUCAUGAAUCAUAUUAAAAAUGCAACACGAUUGAAGAUAGACGUAUGUACCUUAUGUCACAUGGUCCGAUUUCAAAAUGAGAGUGGACCCUUUCGGGUACAGUAAACAUUAGUAUAAGUGUGACAUUCAACGAGGUUAAACACGGUAUAGUUUUGUAGUUUGGAAUCAUGCUAAAGCUUUGUUGUCGAUCAGUCGAUGCAAUAUAUAUUUAGAUUUUGUUUCGUCCCCAGUUUGAAUUUCAUGAAAAUGGAAAUGAAGAUGUGACGUUUCAUUGGAAGAGGGGAAAAAGCUUCACCCAAACCAACAUUGCAUGUGAAUUUUAUGUUUUUUUCUCUUUCCUUUCAUCGAAUUUAGUCACAUGCUCCCUUAUAUCAUAACCUUUAGUUUCUUGAAAGAUACUAUAUAGUAAGAGUUAAUUGUUCCCAAUAAUUCUUGUAAGUAAUUACGCACGAUGAUCAAGAAUAAUCAAUAUGGUCCUGUUUCAGUUUUAGAUCUUUGUUAUAUUAAGUAUCAAAUAUGUACUCCUUAAACCUUUAAUUUGUUAGACUUUUUAAGAAGUUAAUAGUAACUUCUUGUAUCACUCCACCAAAACUUUAAUUUGUUAUCAUGAAGUUAAAAUAAUUUGACAGAUUGAGAAAAAAACUAGAUUUGAUAUAAUAUGUGUCCACCAUGCUCCAUAAUUACCAACACUAGCCGAAAGAGGAGACGAAUGGGUUGAAAAGUAGGGUGUGUUUCCUUGUAGAGGUCCUAAAAUUAUUUUGAUGGCACUUACUCAAUAAUGAUUAAUGCCCUCAUACCCACCCACAUGUUCCCUUCAUAUGUAGUUCCAAUCAAUUUGGUUGGACAAAACACAGAGCAAUACUAAUGGUAACCUAACAACUAUUCUCAAAUCAGUGUUUCCUAAGUCUCAUUCACUUUUUAUUCUCUUUUAUCAUUAUUAGUACCAUUACCAAUACUACCUUUUUUCUUUAGACCUUCGCAUCAAGACUAUCUAAGUUUGGUUCAAGUUCAAGAUAUAACUUGGUGCUAGCCACAAACACCAACAAAAUGUUUUUACUUUGUGUUUGUGAUGCCGCUCCUCAAAGGUUAUAUUUUUUUUUUCUUUUUUUUUUUGGUAAAUUAUAUUUUUGAGUUAUAUUUUAUAUAUAUCAGACGGCUAAAAAUUUUCUUAGUGAUAUGAAGAAAGUGGUUAAAAAAUUCGAAGAAAAGAUAUGGUUAAGUUAAGAUUCAUAGUUCACAAAACAGUUGCAUACAAAAUGUUAUAAAAAAGAAUAGGGUAACAUAUUGAGGAAUGUGAUUCGACAAAAAUAUAAUUAAAAUCUACAUGAUUUUUUACUACGAAAUUAUAAAAGAUUAUUGCCAAUAGUGUUAAAAGGACCCUUUUCAAUCUUAUAUUGCUUCAGGUUAUCCAACUUGGCUAAGUCACUUCUUUGUUUAGGUUGCUUUAUUCUGCCUUGUUUUUCUUGUAGUUUCUUUGGAUUUAUCCUGAUCCUCUCUACUCAUCUUUAUUUUGUUAAUAUAAUGAUAGUAUUUAAAAAAAAACUAUAAAAGAUUUUGAUCCAAAAAAAAACUAUAAAAGAUUAUAUUUCAAACCUUUUUUACAAAUGUCUUUGUUUCAACUACUGACUGUCUCUUCUAGUGUAUAUUUGAACCAUCUAUUCCAACAGUUCUUUUUAUUUGCAUGCAUGGUCACUCCUGAGUAACCCGAAUAAAAUAUUCGUCUAUAGUCUUUAUAUCUUUUGAAAAAAAUAAUAUAAAUAUAGGUUUUUGAAUUUGUAAAAAAAUAUUUUUAUUAAAAUCUUUACUAAAUCGCAUAUAAUUUUUCUUAUAAAAUUUGAAGACCGGCCUAUCUGCAUGUAUGGUACGCUAGACUCGGUUAUUCAGCCAAAUUCAAUUAGGUUAAAAUUAGAAACUUCGUCCAAUUUUUCUAAUUGUAUCAUACGAUCUUUUACUUAACUAUUACUUUAUUUAUUUUAUAACAAAUGUCAUUCUAAUGUUCUUUUAUUGUUUCAAACUGUUAUUCUACAUUUUCAAUAUAAUUUUUUAUAGUAAAUACUUUUCUUAUCUUUUUAAAUAGUUAAUAUAUGUUUCGCUAUAACAUUUUCAUUUAAAUAAUUGUACAAUAAAUAUAUAUAUUAAUAUAUUAAAUCAUUUUUAAUUGGUGAAAUGUGUUUAUAUAAGCUACACUUUUUGUGAAAUUGAGAAAGGAAUUUAAUUUUCAAGUUCAACUCAAACUGUUAUUAUUUUAUGUCCUUUUUUUUGUUUUGAGAAAACUAUUGAAUGUCUUUUUCUUUGUAACAAACACUAAUAUUUUUUUUUUUGAACUUAACAAACAUUAACAUUAUCUAUCGAAUCAAAUAUCUAAUGAUAGCAUUUUUAAAAUAAUAAAUCAAAUAAAAUUAAAAUAACACAAGUUUAUAAUAUGAGUAGAAUAUCG